ACUGCCUAAAUUUUGAAGAAAGAAAAAUGCGGCUUAAAAUCCCAAAAUGAGGUUUUAGUUUUUCUCUAAUCUAUUUACCAACUAAAGUCAUUCGCACCGGUUCGCUAUUAAAACCCCCAUCACAGAAGGGGAGAAAAAGGAAGAAGAACAUUUAAUACAAAAGUUUCUGUAUGUAGAACAAAAAAAAGAAAAAAAAGAAAAAAUGGCGAAACAGGAACAAAUUUCUUCUCGACCAUGGAUACUCGAAGCCGUACCCCUUUUGGUUGUCAUUCUCAUAGCAGCCCAUGUCCUCGCUUUGGUUUAUUGGAUUUAUAGGCUGGCAACAGAGAAACUGCCGCAGAGGACAAAAAAACAUUAGGGAUACGAAAAAUACAAAAUGAGUUACUUCAUAAAAGUUCAUCAACUAGAGGGGUUCUUUCAAUUGCUAAUGAGUUCAUCAGAUGUGGUAGUCUAUAGCAGCUGUUAGUUUCUUUUUCAAGUGUUUACCUAGGUUUGCCAUUCUAAUUUGUUGGAAAUUCCAUUCCUGCUGGAUGAAUCAGUGAGCACACUUUGUCGAGUAUCUGGUAUGUGUUGAUAGCUAGUGUUUGUCCUGUCAUCCCCUGAUAAAUGUAAUGCGUGUAAAAUCACUGCUAAUAUUGGGGUUACACUUGUAACAAAGUUUAAAGUUCGAUGUACAAUUGAAGUUACAACUUGGAUAUCUUUUAGCUGCCAUGUUUUGAUAGCCUUCAAUCUAGUUUGCAUUUGAAUUGCAAUAAUUUGUUAUUGAUUCUUGCCCACGACUCCUGUUUAUAGAUGGCAAGAGGUUGUUUACAUAAUCUUUGUAAAGUUGCAUCAGAAAAUUGGCUGUAUAAUGACAUUUUUAUAAUUUGUCGGCCUGAUUGAAGUUAAUAAAGUUAUUGUUACUUGA
This is a long non-coding RNA of Coffea eugenioides, 907 nucleotides long. RefSeq lists it as uncharacterized. The record is from RefSeq and is a predicted model, not a curated record. Lineage: Eukaryota; Viridiplantae; Streptophyta; Magnoliopsida; Gentianales; Rubiaceae. The transcript is spliced from 3 exons.